UGGGGGAUCGUCUAACGGUAGGACUGCAGCCUCUGGAGCUGCGUAUCGGGGUUCAAAUCCCUGUCCCCCAGCCA
RNAcentral lists this transfer RNA (74 nucleotides) under Candidatus Margulisiibacteriota bacterium. RNAcentral describes it as "tRNA-Gln". It matches the Rfam family "tRNA". From Rfam's summary of the family: Transfer RNA (tRNA) molecules are approximately 80 nucleotides in length. The record is from RNAcentral. Lineage: Bacteria; Bacillati; Candidatus Margulisiibacteriota.